Molecule: ribosomal RNA, 207 nt
Filed under: uncultured bacterium
Lineage: Bacteria
Description: partial 16S ribosomal RNA
Rfam family: Bacterial small subunit ribosomal RNA
Source: RNAcentral
CACGUAGGCGGAUAUUUAAGUCAGGGGUGAAAUCCCCGGGCUCAACCUGGGAACUGCAUUUGUGACUGCAUGGCUAGAGUACGGUAGAGGGGGAUGGAAUUCCGCGUGUAGCAGUGAAAUGCGUAGAUAUGCGGAGGAACACCGAUGGCGAAGGCAAUCCCCUGGACCUGUACUGACGCUCAUGCACGAAAGCGUGGGGAGCAAACA